UGAGCAUCUGGGAUUUCUUACCGAGCCUUU
Molecule: non-coding RNA, 30 nt
Filed under: Rattus norvegicus (Norway rat)
Lineage: Eukaryota; Metazoa; Chordata; Mammalia; Rodentia; Muridae
Source: RNAcentral